AAGCCAUGACUAGGGCACUUCCUAAGCAUUGACUUAUACCUCUCCCAUGCUUCAUUAAGAGAUUCAUUAACACCUUGAGAGAAUACUGAAAUAGUUGUUUUGGCUU
Molecule: small nucleolar RNA, 106 nt
Organism: Vicia villosa (hairy vetch)
Lineage: Eukaryota; Viridiplantae; Streptophyta; Magnoliopsida; Fabales; Fabaceae
Source: RefSeq, a predicted model, not a curated record